UCCUACGGGAGGCAGCAGUGGGGAAUAUUGGACAAUGGGGGCAACCCUGAUCCAGCCAUGCCGCGUGAGUGAUGAAGGCCCUAGGGUUGUAAAGCUCUUUUGUGCGGGAAGAUAAUGACGGUACCGCAAGAAUAAGCCCCGGCUAACUUCGUGCCAGCAGCCGCGGUAAUACGAAGGGGGCUAGCGUUGCUCGGAAUCACUGGGCGUAAAGGGUGCGUAGGCGGGUUUCUAAGUCAGAGGUGAAAGCCUGGAGCUCAACUCCAGAACUGCCUUUGAUACUGGAAGUCUUGAGUAUGGCAGAGGUGAGUGGAACUGCGAGUGUAGAGGUGAAAUUCGUAGAUAUUCGCAAGAACACCAGUGGCGAAGGCGGCUCACUGGGCCAUUACUGACGCUGAGGCACGAAAGCGUGGGGAGCAAACAGGAUUAGAUACCCUGGCAGUCCACGCCGUAAACGAUGAAUGCCAGCCGUUAGUGGGUUUACUCACUAGUGGCGCAGCUAACGCUUUAAGCAUUCCGCCUGGGGAGUACGGUCGCAAGAUUAAAACUCAAAGGA
This 553-nucleotide ribosomal RNA is filed under the name Rhodopseudomonas palustris. RNAcentral's name for it is "bacterial SSU rRNA". It matches the Rfam family "Bacterial small subunit ribosomal RNA", at positions 337 to 908 of the family's 1533-position model. Lineage: Bacteria; Pseudomonadati; Pseudomonadota; Alphaproteobacteria; Hyphomicrobiales; Nitrobacteraceae. The record is from RNAcentral.